UCUCACGCUCCCUCACUUCUCUCUCUCCCUCGCAUCUCUCGCGCAGCCGUCGCUCUCGCUCCCCUCCUUCUCUCCGGCCCGAGCCGCCGCUGCUCCUCUGCGCCUCCAUCCUCCUCCUGGCCGUCCCUUCUGCUAGCCCCUCGCGACCAUGAAGGGCGGCGGAGCCAUCAGUAGCAGCGACGGUCGGGCUCCUGGGUGUGAGGCUAGAGAAGGCCAAGCAGAGCACGCCGUCGCCGUCGCAACCAGCUGCGCCUUGGGCGAUGCCGACGAGCUCCAAUGGCUUGACGCCACCAACGCGCUUCAGUGGAUCGAUCCGACACCAGGAACCGUGAGCACCAGGCCCACCUACCCCGCCGCCGGCGCCGCCUCCUUGCAAGAUCCCGACCAUGAUUGGACAAGGCAAAGUUUCAUGUUAUUGGGGCAAUCUUAUUUACAGCCCAGCAAGGUGUUCUGCAUCCAACAGCUGUUGUGAAGACUAGAAUGCAGGUUGCUGAAGGAGGACUUUCACAUAUGUCUGGCUUUGUCGUUUUUAGAAAGAUAUUAAGGAGUGAUGGCAUCCCUGGUGUUUUCAGAGGAUUUGGCACCAAUGCAGUUGGAGCUCUGCUCACCGUCUACUGGGUGAACCGGGGCCUCUGCCACUUCCGCCACAAGGAAUGGGCCAGGGUUGAGGAGGACAGCAGGAGGGCACUCGUGCUUGACGACACCUCCGUCAAGGGACACUAUUUGCUAGGAUGCGCACUGCUCUUGAAGGGGAACUGCGCUCUCACCGUCAAGGAAUUCGACAAGGGAAGCAUGUGAAAAUGCUCUGCCACGCCUCCACCUUCUCCUUCGCCCUUCACCACCGAGCCCCCUGACCAUCACGCUUGCCGCGCCCUUUGCGCAAGGGCUUCCAACCCAAUGUGCCGAUUGUGGCUGUUCUUGAGGCUGCUAACCUACAGCUGUUGACCCCACUGCUCCCCAGUGCAGAGGAUUUCCAUGGUGUCGCAGCUCCAAGGCACACCUGACCUCCUCCUUUUGGUGAUGUUUAUCAGUUAGUGAGAUUUCUGCACCUAGACACUAUGACGCAGAUUGUCGGGGGUUGGGUGCGACAUAUGCCAAAGGAUGGCUUAGCAUGGUGGGAGCGAGUAGAACGUCACCGAUGCCUGGAAG
Triticum dicoccoides is the source of this 1149-nucleotide RNA transcript. It is a transcript of the gene named E3 ubiquitin-protein ligase CHIP-like, with no coding region annotated. NCBI's taxonomy places the organism in Eukaryota, Viridiplantae, Streptophyta, Magnoliopsida, Poales, Poaceae. The transcript has 5 exons. The record is from RefSeq and is a predicted model, not a curated record.